AGCUCCAAUAGCGUAUAUUAAAGUUGUUGCAGUUAAAAAGCUCGUAGUUGAAUUUCUGGCUGGAAGGGAGCGGUCCCGCAUCUUUGCGGGUACUUGCUCGUCUUCUGCCAUCCUUGGGCUUAGUCUCGCUGAUAUUAACUUAUCGGCGUGUACGAUGCCCAUCGUUUACUGUGAGCAAAUUAGAGUGUUCAAAGCAGGCUUAUGCCGUUGAAUAUAUUAGCAUGGAAUAAUAAGAUAGGACCUAGUGACUAUUUUGUUGGUUUGCGUUAUGAGGUAAUGAUUAAGAGGGACAGUUGGGGGUAUUCGUAUUCAGGUGUAAGAGGUGAAAUUCUUAGAUUAUCGGAAGACGAACGACUGCGAAAGCAUUUACCAAGGAUGUUUUCA
This 384-nucleotide ribosomal RNA is filed under the name uncultured marine Chaetocerotaceae. RNAcentral's name for it is "SSU rRNA". It matches the Rfam family "Eukaryotic small subunit ribosomal RNA", at positions 587 to 972 of the family's 1831-position model. Lineage: Eukaryota; Bacillariophyta; Thalassiosirophyceae; Chaetocerotales; Chaetocerotaceae. The record is from RNAcentral.